UACGGAGGGUGCAAGCGUUAUCCGGAUUUACUGGGUUUAAAGGGUGCGUAGGCGGGUUGAUAAGUCAGGGGUGAAACCUCCGAGCUUAACUCGGAAACUGCCUUUGAUACUAUCAGUCAUGAAUUCAGUUGAGGUGGGCGGAAUGUGUCGUGUAGCGGUGAAAUGCUUAGAUAUGACACAGAACACCAAUUGCGAAGGCAGCUCGCUAAACUGACAUUGACGCUGAGGCACGAAAGCGUGGGGAGCAAACAGG
This 253-nucleotide ribosomal RNA is filed under the name uncultured bacterium. RNAcentral describes it as "partial 16S ribosomal RNA". It matches the Rfam family "Bacterial small subunit ribosomal RNA", at positions 524 to 776 of the family's 1533-position model. The record is from RNAcentral.